GACAGAGGGGGCAAGCGUUGCUCGGAAUUACUGGGCGUAAAGGGCGCGUAGGCGGGAUGGCAAGUCGGUCGUGAAAUCCCUCGGCUCAACCGAGGAACGUCGAUCGAUACUGCUGUUCUUGAGGAUUGCAGAGGAGACUGGAAUUCCCGGUGUAGCGGUGAAAUGCGUAGAUAUCAGGAGGAACACCGGUGGUGUAGACGGCUAUCUGGACCGUAACUGACGCUGAGGCACGAAAGCGUGGGUAGCAAACAGG
This 253-nucleotide ribosomal RNA is filed under the name uncultured bacterium. RNAcentral's name for it is "partial 16S ribosomal RNA". It matches the Rfam family "Bacterial small subunit ribosomal RNA", at positions 524 to 776 of the family's 1533-position model. The record is from RNAcentral.